GGGAAGGUGGCUCAGUGGUAGAGUGCUUGCCUUGCAUGCAUGAGGCCCUGGGUUUGAUUUCUCAACUCCA
Molecule: non-coding RNA, 70 nt
Organism: Dipodomys ordii (Ord's kangaroo rat)
Lineage: Eukaryota; Metazoa; Chordata; Mammalia; Rodentia; Heteromyidae
Source: Rfam